UGAAAUGACACGAGAUUCUUGUUCCUGGAUACAUCCUUCAUGAAUUUGUGAACAGUCCCUUUGAAAUGAUACUCCAGUCUAUAGACAAGAUAGCUUUAAGUUGUACUACUACAGUUGGGGUACGUGUAGCACAAACGUUUCUUCGCGAAGUACCAAGGAGUUAAAGGUCAUGACCAAUAGCUUUCUUUCGAAAGAACAGAAAUAGAAUAACAAUUCUCCCUCAAAAUAUAACAGAAGAACAAUUGCCCCCAGCAUGAACUUAGAAGCUAGAGGCCAAAUGUCCUCAUGAUGACGAACAAUUCCCCCUAUAGCUCCAAAGGAUUUGAUGCAUGUGACACAUUGCAGAUGUUGAAGCUAGCUGCAUAGCUGAUGAGCCAUCUCAGUCUCGAUCGUGCUAUCUCUCUACCUACUCCAUUCCAUCUAGCUCAGCUAUAGCCAGUAAGAAGAAUGGCAAUCAUUUAGGAAGCUUACAAAGGUAUAUGUUGAUAAAGAUUCAUUGGACGUUGACGAAGCCGAUGUCCCAUAACAUCCAUCCCUCGUCUCCUCUCAAAAAAAGUUCAGUUGAAGAUUCCCC
RNAcentral lists this long non-coding RNA (574 nucleotides) under Setaria viridis. RNAcentral's name for it is "long non-coding RNA (SVIR_LNC004988)". Lineage: Eukaryota; Viridiplantae; Streptophyta; Magnoliopsida; Poales; Poaceae. The record is from RNAcentral.